This 253-nucleotide ribosomal RNA is filed under the name uncultured bacterium. Its description in RNAcentral is "partial 16S ribosomal RNA". It matches the Rfam family "Bacterial small subunit ribosomal RNA", at positions 524 to 776 of the family's 1533-position model. The record is from RNAcentral.
UACGAAGGGGGCUAGCGUUGCUCGGAAUCACUGGGCGUAAAGGGUGCGUAGGCGGGUCUUUAAGUCAGGGGUGAAAUCCUGGAGCUCAACUCCAGAACUGCCUUCGAUACUGGGAGUCUUGAGUCCGAGAGAGGUGAGUGGAACUGCGAGUGUAGAGGUGAAAUUCGUAGAUAUUCGCAAGAACACCAGUGGCGAAGGCGGCUCACUGGCUCGGUACUGACGCUGAGGUGCGAAAGCGUGGGGAGCAAACAGG